Molecule: long non-coding RNA, 1248 nt
Filed under: Penaeus japonicus
Lineage: Eukaryota; Metazoa; Arthropoda; Malacostraca; Decapoda; Penaeidae
Description: uncharacterized LOC122245615, transcript variant X1
Source: RNAcentral
UGAGACGAUUCCUUGAGCGCUUCAGCCAGCAUGUGGAGAGGAUUGUGUUUGUGGUGAACAGCAUAGAUGUGAGCAUAUAUGAGAUCCUGCUGCCGCUCUAUUUCCCUAGAACAACGCAGGAUGAGGACUGCAGCUGUUGCUUGUUGCCUAAUGAUCUUGGAGACGAGUUGGGAGAGCCGCUAAUCCCAGACAGGCAGAUUCGGAUUAUUGACAAUCCACAGCAUAAAUAUGAAGCCCUAGAGGAGAGAGAGAGAGUGAGUUGCAAUCUAGAUUCUGACAAGACUCUUGGUCCGAGCUGCCGGGAAAGAUAGUGGUAUGUGUUCCCCUCGGCAGCCUGUAUGUGGAUGAAGCUUGGCAUGUGUAGCAGGUCUUAGUUAGCCUUCUCGUUUGUUGCUGUUGUUUGCAUAGCUGUUUAGUUCUCUUGUUGUUGGAUGGCAUCUGCCCCCUUUGGCUUUCUUUUGUCGUUGUUGUUUUAUAUUUUUUUAUCAAAUAGAUAAAUGGUAUUGUAUUUGUUUGUUUGCCUGAUGUCCAACGAUAUAAAAGUGUUUGUAUAUUUUAUGCUGUAAUUUAUAUUGUGAUUUGGAUGUUUGCAUGAGUGACUAACAAAAUUGGAAUGCAGGAUUGUGUAUAGAGAUUUUAGUGUUGACAUUUUUAAUGUUAUUUUUAUCUUUAAAAUAGUCUUGUCUAUUGUUACAUAAGUAGAGUCUUGAGAAGUAAGAUAAAUAAAUAAAGGUGACGCAUGCUUUUCUUCUAUCUCUCUCUUAGCAAAACAUGCUAUUAUUUUUUUACAUCUUAUGUCAAAGGAUGAAGAUGGUAAACAGAAAAUUUUAAAAGAUAUAUUUUAAAACAAAUGGAGAAGAAUUGAUACUGCUUGCUGAGCUUACAGGUUUGUGAAGCUUUUCUGGUUUGCUUGCAGGCAGUGAAACAUUGAUGACCUGUAUGUAUUUUUAGUUACUUAUUUGUAUCUAUUACAUCACAUUAUUUUUGUUAUUUGGGGGGUUAGACAUAUAUGUAUUAUCUAUGACCAGUGAUUCCUUCAUAAUUAUUGGUGAGUUGGUUAUUUGUGUAUUUUUUAAGGGGGAGCAGUAUGAUGUGUGAUGGUCUGUGAAGACUUGCUUCAAAGGGAAAUGGGAUUUAAAUGUUAUUCAGGACUUCACUUUGUUGUAAAGUAGUUACUUCAUGAAAUAACAUUUAUGCAUAUAUGGAGGACUUAAACAACUAGACAAUAAAACACAUACACAUGCACAC